RNAcentral lists this ribosomal RNA (360 nucleotides) under uncultured bacterium. RNAcentral's name for it is "partial 16S ribosomal RNA". It matches the Rfam family "Bacterial small subunit ribosomal RNA", at positions 338 to 696 of the family's 1533-position model. The record is from RNAcentral.
CCUACGGGCGGCAGCAGUGAGGAAUAUUGGUCAAUGGGCGGAAGCCUGAACCAGCCAAGUAGCGUGCGGGAUGAAGGCCCUACGGGUCGUAAACCGCUUUUGCACGGGGAUAACACCCUCCACUUGUGGAGGUCUGCAGGUACCGUGCGAAUAAGGGCCGGCUAAUUCCGUGCCCGCAGCCGCGGUAAUACGGAAGGCCCGAGCGUUAUCCGGAUUCAUUGGGCUUAAAGGGAGCGUAGGCGGGCGUUCAAGUCAGCGGUAAAAUCGCGCGGGCCAAACGCGCCCCGCAGUUGAAAAUGGACGCCUUGAGUUCACAACAGGCAGGCGGAAUUCGUGGUGUAGCGGUGGAAUGCAUAGGUA